ACCUGAGGUUGCUGCUGUGUGACUAAGGACCAGGUAAUAUUUACAGCGUGGCUAUACAGGACAAAGGGUGGUCACAGCCUAGCUGGGGCAGAGCUGGAUGGCGUGAGACUUCGUGACGCGACUCAGAUUGGCAUUUGAUUUAAACUUCACAGAUCAUUUAUCUCUGGAAUUUUCCAUUUCAAAUUUUCAGAACGAGGCUGACCUUGAAUAACUGAAGCCACAGAAAGGGGUACCACGGACAAGGGACGACUACCAAAUAAUUAUCUAAGACUUCUGAGUCAUCAACAAAAGUUAAGUUUUGGCCAUGCUGUUGUGUGAAUAAGGUGGGGAAAAUGAUGAGAAACUUGGAGAAAUUUAUAUUCAAAGCAGUAUAUUUGGGUCAUUUCCCCUUCCAUCACCAGUCUGUGCCCUGUAAUAUAUUCUGUCUGUAGUUUUUGAACUUGUCUGCAGGAUGAUAGAACUAAACAAGCAAACAUCUCAACUUGGGUGUCACCCUUUGGAUUAUAGCUGCUGUUUCCUUCUCCACAGGGAUAUAGAAUUAAACCCCGCUCAGUGGCCCUGUUUAGGCUCAGAUUACGACGGCCCUGGAACAAUGAAGAUUAUCAAGAUGAAUGGAGAGGAGCCCGCCACCCUCCUUAUUCAUCACAGAGUCGUUCAGCCCUGUUAUCGCUCAUGCUGAGAGAUUUAUUGGUAAUUAUUGCAGCAGGUACGCUGUCUUGAAGAGAGCAAAAAUGUUCAGGAAUUGAGGUGCUUCGGACCCAGAGAGAAGUAAAGUAUGGGUGAUCCUGAAUUUAUGGAAGAAAUUCGGAAGAUCUAUAUGAAUUUGAAAAGCAGUGCUCAGUAUGUGUGGACUACAUGUGUCCAAGGAGAGCUGCACUAUUUAUUUCAUGUUUCAUGCACGGGACAGUGUACUGUGGUGCUGGGGACAUAUGUUUGUAUAUCUUAAGAAAAUGUGUCAGGCUUGUUUUUUUUUUUCCAAACUAAUAAACCUAGGGCAUGUGCACACACAUCACACAUAUCUGCUGCUUUCUAAGCAAAUUUGAUUUUCAUUUCUGCAGUCAAUCCAAAGAUUUGGAGGGGGGGAAAUGAACAUGAAGACUUUUGAGUUUCAGGAGAGGUCAUUACUGUUGUUUUGCAGUUUGAACCCUGGUGGCAGAGCACUGAGAAAGGAGCAGAGGAGCACUUGCUGAUGAAGAUGAGAAGGUGACAGGUGUCAGGCUCAGCAUCAAGAUAUGGAGCGCCCAUCUCCAGACCUAUUUUUAUAACACACCUGCAGAGACGGGGACUGUAUUCCUGGCCCA
This 1301-nucleotide long non-coding RNA is filed under the name Fukomys damarensis (Damara mole-rat). Its description in RNAcentral is "lncRNA (ENSFDAG00000028012.1)". Lineage: Eukaryota; Metazoa; Chordata; Mammalia; Rodentia; Bathyergidae. The record is from RNAcentral.